This is a non-coding RNA of Epinephelus lanceolatus (giant grouper), 4472 nucleotides long. The record is from RefSeq and is a predicted model, not a curated record. NCBI's taxonomy places the organism in Eukaryota, Metazoa, Chordata, Actinopteri, Perciformes, Serranidae.
CAUAGAUUUUUCUGUGCUCUAGCCUCUCUGAGUACAAGUAAGGAUUUAAGCUAAAUUGGGCAUCAAUAUCACAUUUAUUUGUCUCUUCCUUUCUAUUUGUGCACACUGACCUGUGCAUUUAUUUGUAUUUUGACACUCCUCAACAUAUUGUUUUGUCUUGCUCAUUUAUUCACCCACUUAUUUAAGUACCCAUCUUUUCAUCUCUCCCUCCUCUCUGUUCAUUUCUCCUCCCUGAAACAUUUAUUUUGAAAAACAAGAAAAGGACCUGUACUCUUCACAGUAUCCGUUGACGUCAUCAAGGUGUUUUUCCCGAUCGGGCAGGUGACUCACCUUUGCUCUUACUCGCUCCCCCGCACAAACACACACUCACACACACUCACAUACGCCGGGGCGCAAUGAGUUAAGGAUGUGAGUCAGGCGGAUUUCUGUGGAAGAAAAUCAGGAACUUCACACUGACGAGAAACUUUUCAUGUCGUAACGGGAAGUGAUUUGAAUGUGCUUCUGAUGAAGGGUUUUACUGGUCUGAUCCCGGCCUGUCGGUGCUGAGAGGGACGCCGGAGUUUUGCGGUUGUUGGUCGGACAGUUUGAAGGCCUGGAAACAUGCUGGUUGGUGGUGCGUUCACGGUCCUGCUCUUUCUCAUCAGUAGAGUUUCUGCUGGUAAUGUUCUACCUCCAACAAAUGUGACCCUGAGCUGCACCAAUCUCAACGUCACAGUCAGUUGGAAGUACCGGGAACGGCAACCACAAACCAGCUUCCGGGUACACAUUACAGGAUCUGCUGGGGAUUAUGAGACCGAAACCACGGACCAUCAGUACGAUCUGAGCCACUUCGUCUGGCAAUCUGAAGAGCGCUACUUGGCCUUCCAUUACGUCACUGUAACAGCCAUAGAGGGCGGCAACCAGUCCAAAUCAGUACAUUCUGAAACGUUCACCUUUAACAAGUUCAAUUAUCCUCAGAAAAGAUGUGCAUUGGAUUUCCCUCCUGCGGAUCUGAAUGAGAAUGAUUCUGGGGCCACAGUCAGUUUUGUGAAUCCCCUCUACUUCUACAGAGAACUGAAGGAGGCUGACAAACCGAAUACUGUCACCUUUAUAUACAAUGUCUUUUCAGAUGGAGCCUUGAAGUCGGGACCUGCUGAGUGCACAGCGGCACAUGAACACUGCAAACAUGAUGUCUCAUUUCUUGAGGGUGUGGAGAAGUGCGUCAACUUGAGUGGAUGGCUGAAUGCCGGGAAUAAUGUUGGUGGGGUGGUGUUCAGAGAGAGCGGUCGCAUUUGUCUCAGUGAAUCAACUGAGCUCCAUGCUGUAGCGCUUACUGUAAUGCUGUUCGUCCUCGCCAUCUUAAUCAGUGGCAUAAUAAUUAUCAUCUAUAAUGCAAAUGCCUGGACAAUGAAGAUACCCAGUUUCCCCAAACUUCUGAUCUCAGAGCCGCACCCCAGGGAAUGGGACAUGUAUGCUCAUAUGUCCCACGAACACUUCAGUCAGGCGAUUGUCAGCCAGCCCUGCAAGAACCCGUCAGUCAGCUCUGAAGAGGAGAACCAUCUCAUGGAGAACCUGGACAGCAGCACCGGCUCCGGUUUCCAGCAUGAUGAGUUCUACAUGGAGGGAGGACGUUCAGAGGGAUACGGGAGAGGUGAUGACUCUGAAAACAGCUCAGUGAAAUCAGAGACUGAUUCGACUGGUUUGGAGGAGGAGGAUGAGGAAGAGUUGGAGGAGGUGUCGGUGUCACCCUACGACUGCCCACACACUCUGCAGGUGGACAUGGGUGAUGGAGACAUGGUCACAGGUUAUAGCAAGAGGUAAAGGAGGACUUGAUCUGGGAUUGAAGUUUGUUUCAUGACGGUUUUAACUCACCCAGGACCGUCCUCACAUGUUCGUACCUCGGGUGCACUACAGAGCCUAAACAAGUGCACUCAGGGAGGUGGUGCUCAAGAGAUGCUCAUACCUUCUUGUUUCUGACUGCUGUGAUCAAAACGCAUUGACCUACAUGUUUGAGGAUAUCGUCGGUUUGCCUUGUUGCUGCAUUUGGAGGUAAUCAGAUGAAUCAAAACAGAAAAAGCCCAAUUUUCUACAAAACAAAGAAGAUGAAAAAAAUACUCCUGCCUGUCAUGCAUUUUAAAGAAGCCUUUCAUGAACAUGAAACCUCAGCUACAUUUAUAACCUUUUUAACUUUUAUUUUAUGGGAAGAAACUGUAGUUAACGCUGCUGUUUUAAUCUGCUAAACAAACCGGUGAUCUUCCAGUCACUUGCCAGCUGUUUUCUGUCUGGCUGCAGAGGUAUACAGCUCUAUCUUUUACCCUCAGCCAUCUCUGCUCCUGCGGCAUUUUAUCAGAUGCAGCAGUGCAGACCAGUUGCUUCAAAACACCAUCCGGAAAUUUUUCAUCUCAAAGAAAACACGCUUCAAAAGAAGAACAAGUUGUACGAGUGCUUUCUGUUGUCUUUAAGUAUCGGCUGAAACUUGUUGUAUGUGUGGCUGUUUUUCAUGAAGGGAAGGAGCUCCAUUUUUUUAUCUUCAUCAGCAUGUAUGGUUUUGUUUUGUUUUUAAAGGAAAGUUCACCCAAAUGGCACACAAAAAAGCAUUGUCAUGGUAUACCAGGGUAUUUAGAAAUAUGAUAAUAUGAUUUUUAAUACUGUCAAAAAUACAGACACUCAUCUUUCUAUUGUCCUCAUAUGAAUGAGACGAUGAACUGAGGAUUUUUUGUAAGUAGUGCACAUCAUAUGCCACCUAAGGUCAGUCUGGUGGGACAGGCAGCUGAGCUGACAAACAUGGCGACUGCAAGUGGUGGGGAUAACAUAACAGGACUGUAACAGCUGCAACAGCACCGUCCAGAUGUAUAAUAAUAACUAGACCUGAUCGGUCAAGGGGAAUUGCUCGCUAGGAUGGAUUUCUAUGUAAAGUUUUCAAAUUGUUGGAAAUUCAAAAGGAUGUGACAUCAUGCACACUGCCGAGUGCCUUGACUCUUGAGCUCCACUACAGUGCUAACACUGUGCAAUAGUAGCUGACAUAAGUUAGAAAAGGAGUCCACUAACAUCAACAAAUGACCAGCAUCCACCACAGCACAGAGUCAAACAUGCUGUGUUUUCGUGAUAUAAAUUUUGCAGCGGUGGCCCGGUAGAGACGAACCUUUACUUGCACUUGCGCUGGCUGAAUUUGAGCUGCUACAGGAGGUGACUGAAGGUCCGUCUCCGGAGCUGCCGUCGGCUCUCCUCCCGGCGAAGUUGUCUCCGAGUAGUGGGGUUGAGUUGGAGGGACCAUGUGGUGCGCUCGCUAAUUCUUGUUUCAUUUGUGGUCUAACAAACAGUAAAUUCAUCAAAUUCAGUUCCCCUCGAUGCAGAAAAACCACGUUAAUAACGUGAAAUAUGUGGGUAUAUUGCAAUAAUGUGCUAACACAGAUGAAUUGCUAGCUUGGUAAUGUAGCAAAAUACUGUCUAGAGUGAUUAACAUGAUCCAAUUCAUCCAGAUUCCCGGGGCUGGUUAGCAAAUUACUUAGAUAACGUCACACAGCAGCCAACAACAGAUCCAUGCAGUGAAGAUAAGUUACAUAUAGCUGGGCGGUCUAUUACCUAACCAGAACCCAAGGUUAGCCAGCUAGCUGUAUAUUAACAUUAGCUGAUUAAGUCAUUUGUUAACAGAGAGCUAGUUAAAAUCAUGGAGUCAGUGGUCCAAAUGAGAUAAACAGAUUUGGCCGAUGCCCAAAUGCUCGCUUGGGGGCUCGCUGGCCACCGGAGUUAUUAAUAACAACGAUUUUCUUCAAGUUACAUACAGAACCUUUAAUCAUGUGGAUAGGUCUGGUCGUAUAUUUGGUGUAAUAUUCCUGCUAUUGUCACAGUAAACAAGGGUGAAUUGAAUCCGUUUUUAGAAUCAGUGGUCCACAAAUGAUAAUCCACAGAACCAACUGUCACAGGGACUUUUUCUUUGGUAGAAAGUAGUUCUAAUGAAAAAUAUUUAUGGCAAAGAUCUGUGGAUUGUUUACCGCAAAUGUGGAAACCUAUUUAUGCAAAGAGAUGUUGAGUCUUUUAAAGUCAUUUUGAGCAUUUGAACUCCAAAUAUUAACCUUUAAGUACCACUACAGGUAAAUAAGAAAAUAUGUUUUCUGGCGUUUGGGUAAAAGACUCGUCCUGGAUGUUCCGAGCAAGCUUGAGUGUUUCGUUUUGAAUGUUGUUAAACUGAGCACCUCAUACAGUCUGGACUUUCCACUCCUGGCAGCAGAUUGACAUGCAUUAUAAAUAUCUUUCAGUCAUAUUGUUAUGUGCCACACCUAAUUUCUCGGCACUGAGCUACAGUUAACGCUCAGUGUUUCCAUUCUGUUAUUGAGCAACCUGGGACCUGCCUAACUGGUUCUGUGUAGGCGAUGUGUGGGAGUGUUUCUCUUGUUCGAGAUGAUUGGUUUUGUUUACAGUAAUUCAGGGUUUUUUCUAUUUUAUUUUUUAUUGUGGCAAAUUUAACCUUGUUAAUAAAUUCUAUUUUACAAUAA